Molecule: long non-coding RNA, 317 nt
Filed under: Piliocolobus tephrosceles (Ugandan red Colobus)
Lineage: Eukaryota; Metazoa; Chordata; Mammalia; Primates; Cercopithecidae
Description: lncRNA (ENSPTEG00000026608.1)
Source: RNAcentral
ACAGCAAGGCGAACCGGCUGCGGCUUGCGGGGAACUGAGGGCUGCAGCGCCCACCCUGCGCCAGAGACCAGAUAAAGAGUCAAUCUUAAGAUGUGAUGCUUUCAUGUGAAACCUGAAACAAGGUGAUCUGGGGAACCAAAGACUCUAGGACUCUUGGUGCCAACAGAGCUACUCUAUAAUCCAAAAUCUACUCUACCUCUCUUCGUUUGUAAUACCUUCAAAUAUCACACUUCAAGGUUUAGUGAGUAGGCCUAAAGAUUCUACAUGUAAUUCAAAGAAAUCUAUUCAAGUGGACGUCUAUCAACAGAUUACUUGAA